GGAUUGUAGUCUGCAACCCGACUACAUGAAGCUGGAAUCGCUAGUAAUCGCGAAUCAGAAUGUCGCGGUGAAUACGUUCCCGGGUCUUGUACACACCGCCCGUCACACCAUGGGAGUCGGAAAUGCCCGAAGUCAGUGACCUAACCGAAAGGGAGGAGCUGCCGAAGGUGGAGCCGGUAACUGGGGUGAAGUCGUAACAAGGUAAC
This 206-nucleotide ribosomal RNA is filed under the name uncultured bacterium. Its description in RNAcentral is "partial 16S ribosomal RNA". It matches the Rfam family "Bacterial small subunit ribosomal RNA", at positions 1295 to 1500 of the family's 1533-position model. The record is from RNAcentral.